This 590-nucleotide ribosomal RNA is filed under the name uncultured bacterium. RNAcentral's name for it is "bacterial SSU rRNA". It matches the Rfam family "Bacterial small subunit ribosomal RNA", at positions 337 to 917 of the family's 1533-position model. The record is from RNAcentral.
UCCUACGGGAGGCAGCAGUAGGGAAUCUUCCGCAAUGGACGAAAGUCUGACGGAGCAACGCCGCGUGAGUGAUGAAGGCUUUCGGGUCGUAAAACUCUGUUGUUAGGGAAGAACAAGUGCUAGUUGAAUAAGCUGGCACCUUGACGGUACCUAACCAGGAAGCCACGGCUAACUACGUGCCAGCAGCCGCGGUAAUACGUAGGUGGCAAGCGUUAUCCGGAAUUAUUGGGCGUAAAGCGCGCGCAGGUGGUUUCUAAAGUCUGAUGUGAAAGCCCACGGCUCAACCGUGGAGGGUCAUUGGAAACUGGGAGACUUGAGUGCAGAAGAGGAAAGUGGAAUUCCAUGUGUAGCGGUGAAAUGCGUAGAGAUAUGGAGGAACACCAGUGGCGAAGGCGACUUUCUGGUCUGUAACUGACACUGAGGCGCGAAAGCGUGGGGAGCAAACAGGAUUAGAUACCCUGGUAGUCCACGCCGUAAACGAUGAGUGCUAAGUGUUAGAGGGUUUCCGCCCUUUAGUGCUGAAGUUAACGCAUUAAGCACUCCGCCUGGGGAGUACGGCCGCAAGGCUGAAACUCAAAGGAAUUGACGGA